This 484-nucleotide ribosomal RNA is filed under the name uncultured bacterium. Its description in RNAcentral is "partial 16S ribosomal RNA". It matches the Rfam family "Bacterial small subunit ribosomal RNA", at positions 30 to 507 of the family's 1533-position model. The record is from RNAcentral.
AUUGAACGCUGGCGGUAGGCCUAACACAUGCAAGUCGAGCGGAUGAAGGGAGCUUGCUCCUGGAUUCAGCGGCGGACGGGUGAGUAAUGCCUAGGAAUCUGCCUGGUAGUGGGGGAUAACGUCCGGAAACGGGCGCUAAUACCGCAUACGUCCUGAGGGAGAAAGUGGGGGAUCUUCGGACCUCACGCUAUCAGAUGAGCCUAGGUCGGAUUAGCUAGUUGGUGGGGUAAAGGCCUACCAAGGCGACGAUCCGUAACUGGUCUGAGAGGAUGAUCAGUCACACUGGAACUGAGACACGGUCCAGACUCCUACGGGAGGCAGCAGUGGGGAAUAUUGGACAAUGGGCGAAAGCCUGAUCCAGCCAUGCCGCGUGUGUGAAGAAGGUCCUCGGAUUGUAAAGCACCUUAAGUUGGGAGGAAGGGCAGUAAGUUAAUACCUUGCUGUUUUGACGUUACCAACAGAAUAAGCACCGGCUAACUUCGUG